GACGAACCGUGCAAACGUUAUUCGGAAUCACUGGGCUUAAAGGGCGCGUAGGCGGGCUGUCAAGUCAGAGGUGAAAUCCCACAGCUUAACUGUGGAAGUGCCCCUGAUACUGACGGCCUCGAGGGAGGUAGGGGCGUGUGGAACUUCCGGUGGAGCGAUGAAAUGCGUAGAUAUCGGAAGGAACGCCGGUGGCGAAAGCGACACGCUGGCCCUCUUCUGACGCUGAGGCGCGAAAGCCAGGGGAGCAAACGGG
This 253-nucleotide ribosomal RNA is filed under the name uncultured bacterium. Its description in RNAcentral is "partial 16S ribosomal RNA". It matches the Rfam family "Bacterial small subunit ribosomal RNA", at positions 524 to 776 of the family's 1533-position model. The record is from RNAcentral.